GACGAACGCUGGCGGCGUGCUUAACACAUGCAAGUCGAACGGAAAGGCCCUGCUUUUGUGGGGUGCUCGAGUGGCGAACGGGUGAGUAACACGUGAGUAACCUGCCCUUGACUUUGGGAUAACUUCAGGAAACUGGGGCUAAUACCGGAUAGGAGCUCCUGCUGCAUGGUGGGGGUUGGAAAGUUUCGGCGGUUGGGGAUGGACUCGCGGCUUAUCAGCUUGUUGGUGGGGUAGUGGCUUACCAAGGCUUUGACGGGUAGCCGGCCUGAGAGGGUGACCGGCCACAUUGGGACUGAGAUACGGCCCAGACUCCUACGGGAGGCAGCAGUGGGGAAUAUUGCACAAUGGGCAGAAGCCUGAUGCAGCAACGCCGCGUGCGGGAUGACGGCCUUCGGGUUGUAAACCGCUUUCGCCUGUGACGAAGCGUGAGUGAUGGUAAUGGGUAAAGAAGCACCGGCUAACUACGUG
RNAcentral lists this ribosomal RNA (468 nucleotides) under uncultured bacterium. RNAcentral's name for it is "partial 16S ribosomal RNA". It matches the Rfam family "Bacterial small subunit ribosomal RNA", at positions 28 to 507 of the family's 1533-position model. The record is from RNAcentral.